CUUAGAUUAUUGUCUUAAUGAAAAAAAUCAAAAACACGGAGGGCACAUGUGUGUCAUCUAAGGAUGUCGCUUUAUAAAUUUUAGUGGAAGCGCGCGUUCCAUCAUUUUUAAUAGCAGGGGGGAAAUGAAAUCCUAAAAAAUUAAAAACCUUGCAUUUCAUCCAUCUUUUAGGGAUUCCAUGUAAACCCUAGACCUCAUUUGAAGGUUUCGUUCUUAGUCAAGUUGUUUCUGUUCGGGAAGGAAUAACGAAUUCAUCCUCUCCACCAGCCGACAAGCUUCACUCUUUUCUUCUCCUUUUCUCUGUAAACCCUAGACCUUAUUAUGCAGCUGCAACUCUUCCCCCCUUUCGUAUUUUUGGAGCUUGGCAGGCAUACAGUGGUCAACGAUGUCAACUAUCCUCUUUUAUCCACCAUUUUCUCCCUCUGAGACGUUAAAGACACACCAUCCCAAAAUUGGAAGAACUAGGGCUUUUGUGCUCUGGAUCUCACAGGAAACAAGUUUGCCUCGUCCCCACCCUCACCCAUCCAAAUUCCUUCUUGUUCAAAUGAUUAUAUGUUCUUACCUCUCAACCGUACCUGAAUCAAUAUAUCUAUCUCUCUUGUGUCUAUUCUCUCAAUAUCUCACGUGCUUUCCUAUUUACAGCCAGAGUUUGAGAGUGAAAAGAAAAAAGAAAGAAAGAAAAGAUGUGCCUAUUAUUCCUCUUUCUCCCUCUUUUCUUCCUCUGGUUCGAUCAAAUCCCUUCUUCUUCUUAUUAUUUUUUUCGAUUUCCAGGUGAGGUUGCGUUCGAAGGUUGUCAAGGGGUUGUGAGGAGAAGGGAGAAGAAGGGUUGUGAUCUCUUCUUUUGAAAGCGGUGAUGAAUCUACCACGAGGCGGCACAAAAGCAACUAGACUCAUCCACAUCGGUGGAGAAGGGAAAAGAGGAGUUCUAAAAGAGAGAAAGAGAAGAGAAGAAAGAGGCGGAAGAUAAAGAUAGAAGGAAAAUGAGCAGGCGCUGGAGAUCAAAUUGAGAGGCAAAAGGAGUGGUUCAGAUUCAGAAGACUUCAUCUUUUUGAUUUCAUCUCCAUUGAGUACAAGUCGGCGUCGAUCGGGUCAUACAAACCGACGUGACAACUCAUUCCUUAAUCUCAAUGCGCCAUCACACCCCUAAAUCUUGAUUUCACAGACACCUGUCUUUGAUUUUUUGUCUAUUCCUUUUUUCCUCCUUUUUGAAUCCCUUUCUAUUGCGUUACAGCAGAAACACAUUUUCAAUUCCGAAAAAACCCCUAAAUAUGACCUAGUCGGCAUGUUUAAAACGAUGAUUCUGAUGAUACCAUCUACUAAGGAAGAAGAAAGGAAAAAUGAUGAGGCAUCGUAACAUCAUCAUUGACCACCGUCCACAUAUUCUCCCUAAGUCAAAACCCUAAAUAUUGUGGUGGAAGGUUUGACAGCGCCAAAGAUGGAGACAUCAAAGUGCUUGUUAAUGGGUUUAACGAUAAAUCCAGUAUGCCCAUGAGAGGUUCCCCAUACCACUGUUUCCUUCGGUUUUCUAUCUUUCUUAUAUAUAAUUUUCUUUUUGAAAUUGCAGGUUUUGUUUGUUGUUUGUUGAAAUCGCCCCCACUUUUGAUGUUUUCUCUUUUGUAAAUAUGGCCGAAGGGGAUGGGUCUCAAAUUCUAUUGAAAGCCUGAUUUCCAUGGGAUUUAUGGAGUAUAAACUCUCAUACAAGUUCUCGUAUCCCACACACCAAAAGAAACGGGGAGGGGGUUUGAACGUGUGAUGAUAUUAGGGAUUACAAAGAACAUGAUAUAAGGGAAUUGGUAGCUGCUCAAUGUCUUGGAUAUCUAUGAUUUUAUAUCUCGCUCACAGGAGCAGUGGUUGGGUUGAAAUAUCAUGGGAAUCUCGCUUUGAAUCCUGAUUCCAUUCCAGGAGGCCACACCAUGCUAGAAUUCAAGGAGUUACUGAUCUUUUUGUCACAGG
Lactuca sativa (garden lettuce) is the source of this 1953-nucleotide RNA transcript. RefSeq lists it as uncharacterized. The record is from RefSeq and is a predicted model, not a curated record. NCBI's taxonomy places the organism in Eukaryota, Viridiplantae, Streptophyta, Magnoliopsida, Asterales, Asteraceae.